This 75-nucleotide transfer RNA is filed under the name Chloroflexota bacterium. RNAcentral describes it as "Chloroflexi bacterium tRNA-Gly". It matches the Rfam family "tRNA". From Rfam's summary of the family: Transfer RNA (tRNA) molecules are approximately 80 nucleotides in length. Their secondary structure includes four short double-helical elements and three loops (D, anti-codon, and T loops). The record is from RNAcentral. Lineage: Bacteria; Bacillati; Chloroflexota. RNAcentral also lists the same sequence under 1 other name.
GCGGGUGUAGCUCAGUGGCAGAGCAAGGGCCUUCCAGGCCCGAGACGCGGGUUCGAUUCCUGGCCAUCCGCACCA